UUUAUGCAUUGCGAACCGUCUCGCAUUCCAAGCAGUAGGUGAUCUGUUGUGUUGACGCUUUUCUGCUACUUUGCUUGGACAAUUAAGUUUCCUCCCGUUGCAAGCCAAUCCUCAGCUCCGCUUUCCCCACACCAAAAAGCAAAAGCUAAAAGCGAAGAGCAAAGAUUCACACAUAUGUAGCUAGAUAGAAUUAGGUGAAUGAGAAUGCUGAGUUUGAUGAGCAAAGGCAAAUGGUUUUAACAAAUGAAAACAAAAGCAUGGACGAAAUAUCAGUUGUUCUAAGAAGGUUCGGGGACGAACAGAGCACAUUGCUGGACCAGUUUGAGAGGCUUUCCUUCGAGGUUCAGCUGAACCAAGCCAUAUUGAGUCGGAGCCUAUCCGAGCCAAGCGUUGCUAAAAGGUCGCAGUACUGCUCACAGUUUCAAGCUCCGCCGCCAGCGGUGAAGCCAAAGGGGCGGAAAGGGCGACGCGGGUCUGGAUUCAACAGGGUCCUGAAGAAGUUGCUGAAACCAAUCCUUGGUAGGAAAGGAAAUGCCGGGAAGAAGCCUGUGGCUGACCCCCAAAAUCCCAUGUCUUGGAAAGCUUUCAGCAGAUCUCUACGGCUCUGAUUAAUUUUUUCAAAAAAAAAAUGCUUGUUUAUUCAAUUUUGCCAUCCGUGUUAUAGCUAUUUCUCUCUCUCUAUAAAAAUGCUAAUCAUUCGGUUUUCUUAUUCAUUGCAAAAAUCAUAUGUAAUAGUUCUCAAAGAAAUCAAAUAUGAUAAAGGAAUUUUUACUGAUAUUUUGCUGUCAGAACCUGGGGCUCCACUUAAGUUGACGCUCCAUUUAGAAUAAAUAAUUGAACUGCUCAAUUAAACUUUCUUUCCUAAUAAAAACGAGAUUAAUUAUAUGUGAAACUUCAUGCUCUACACUAGAACUGAAGUUACCAUUGUGAUUUUUCAAUGCUAAUCGAAAAUAUAUAUUAAAAAAUUUAUUUAAGUUUUUAAGCUAUUUGAUUUUAGCAUGAGUGUUCUCAUUUUUAACUUUUUUGGAAAAUUUUGAAGUUUGAUAUAUUAUUUGAGGUUCGAAACUCACAGAAAAUCCUCGUAAGGCCGAGGCUAUCUACUUUAUCUUGGACUCCCCUUUGCCGGUUGAGUUCUCUCCCAACAUGCAAGCUGAACCAAAUAAUCAUAACAUUAGGGUGAAUUAUGAAAGCUAUCACAAACACACAAUCAAAAUUCCAGCAGCAAAAGAAUUUAGCUAACAAGAAAAAGGACUUCCCUCCCACAACUCACGGCUAUGCAUCACCGUUAGUCCAUUCUUUCUCUUUUCAACCCAUAUGAAGAUAGUGGGGGGGGGGGGGGUUGAGAGGUUACCAAUUUUGAGAAAAAAAAAUUUCCUUAAACAAGCAAAUUCUCCCACAUUCAUCAACAUGCAGCUGUGCCUUCUCCCUCCUUUCAUUUGAAUCUUGGCCAAAGAAGAAAAAUGGGAUGGAAGAAGAAAUAAAUUCAUUUAUUUCCUUGUUAUUACCGUCCAACGACCCUUCCACUGUCCCAUUUUCCUCCACUUUCCAUAAUCGUUAAAACGAUGUAAGUUGAUAGUAAAUUUAGCCAGCCAUAAUCAUGGUCUGUCCCCCAAUGUCUUUACAUGCAACCCCCUUUCUUAUGACAUCCCUUCUUUUUUUUUAAUAAAAUUUUAACCUUCCUUUCCAUCAAGACUCCAAACAACUCUACCUAUUUAGUUAACUUUGAAUGGUUAAAUUUUCAUACUAUAUUAACUCGAUUAACAGUGCCUCCCAAGAAGACAAGUCUAUAGCAUCAUUCAUAAACAAAAUAUAUAUAUAUAUAUAUAAUUAAAAAUACCAGCAAACUGUCCACUAUCAAACAUAAAAUGGUUUACUUGCCAAUUUGAGCUUUGGCUUAAUUACCAUUUUUGUCAUUUAACAAUUAAAACCUAUAGCAAUUAACUUAUGCAACUUUUAUGAUUUAGCCCCUGACGGUUAAUUAAUAGCUAAUUCGGCCAAAUUACUAAUCCAAAAUUCAAUUCACUUAAAAAAAUAACUCUCUGUAAAUACGAGUUCGGUUUAUGGAAACAGAGUCCCGAAACCGUAUUUUUUUAUACCACUGACUUUCGGGUUGUUACACUAACACUAUAAAUUCACAAUUCAACCACAACCAAUACAUAUAAGUACGUAACUAUACCCUAUGAAAUUAUCAGGAAAUAACAACAAUGAUUGAAUUGUCAAGGACUAAUCAACAUUUUUUUCCUUUUCCUCAAUUAUCUACUGGUUGGUUCAAAUAUUGAUUUAUAUGGUAAUUCAUUUCAAAUUAUCAGUUCCAAUUACCUUAAAACCUCUAAUUCCAUGCAUAUGACAGCUUAAUUGCAUUUUCACAAUUUUUUAAAGUUUCAUAUUUUAUUUAAUUUAGUCCCUAAAAUCGAAACAACUAUAACUUUCACAUUUAAGCUUCAUUUUUCUAUCUGUUUUGAAUUUCAUCCAUCUAUAACCCUAUAGAAUAAAAAAUUACAGUAAUUACAUGUCAAAUUUGACAUAAUUAUAAUUUAAUCCUGAUACUCAAAAUUAACAAAAUCCACUUUACAAAUUAAUUAUUGAUCAUUUCUAAGCUUACAAAUCUACCAUUUAACAUAAAAAAAACUUCAAGAAAUCAUUAAUGGUAACCUUUUAAAACUUUAAAAUUUUUACCAAUUAAUCUCAAGACUAAUUAAAUUAUACUCCCGAGAUUCUAAAAAUAAAAAUAAUUACAAAAAAAAUGUUAAAAAUGACUUACCAAUUUUGAAGAAUAAGUUGGCCCAAAGCUUUGGCUUUCUCUUCAAUGGAGAAACGACGGUGAAGAGGGGAAAAAAUUAAUGAAAAUGGCCAUUAACUUUGUUUUAUGUUUUAAUAUAUUUUAACUUAAUUUUAACAUUAAAAAAUAUAAAUUAAUUAUAAGGCAUUAACCGUUUAUUACAACUUAAAUAGUGCUUUAGACUCUUGAAUAAUAUUAAGCAAGCAUUUUAGUUAAUAAAAAUAAAUAGCAAUUAAUUUUUACGUUUUUUACAACUUAGUUUUUGUGCUCUAAUUAAUCAUCUAAUCACUAAAAUUUUCAAAUCAAAAUUUAAUAUAAUCUUAUAAUUGACUCGCAAGUAUUAAUAAAUAAUAUUUAUUGACUCAAUCAUCGAAGAACAUGGUUCUGAAACCAUCAUUUUCGAUACCAUUAAAAAUUGAGUUGUUACAACUUUUCCUAUACACCACUAUAUAUUUUGUGUUUUAAAAUGCUUAAAAAGCUUAAAAAAACAUGUCGCUAAAGACCUAUUUUUCUAUAGUGUUAAUUUUCUUUUACUCACUAUUUAAACUAGUUUUUAUUUUAAUUUCAUAUAUAUUGUAUAUGUAUUGAUAUUAUUAUUAGUUUUAAACCUUAUGUUUAAAGUCAAUUCAUUUUUAAAAGGGGGAAUGAAACUUGCACGGAAUGUAUGAAAUUUAUCAAAGUCAAUUCAACCAAACUUUCAAUUUUCAAGUAGAAAAUAUUAGUCAAUUUGCGACCAAAUUUUGGAUGGGAUCCAGAUAUUUAUGGGCUUAGAUGUCUGCGUAGUGUUUGAAGAGUUAUCUAUUAGUUUCAAAACUCACUUUGAAUCACUCGAUUUCGAAUUCAGGAGCUAAAGUUAUAACCAUUUUAGUGAAGACUGUGUGAGCAGAAUUUAUGAAUGAAAUUAUUACGAAAAUUACGAGUUUCAGGCUUUUUAUUCGAGUUUAAAUCAUAUUGGGUUCAAGUUUUAAGCUUAUGGGUCUAAUAUUAUAUUUAUUAAGUUUUAUUACUUUAUUAUUAGUUUAUUCUGAAUUUUGGAUAAUUUUUUAGUAUUUUAAGUUAUUUAAGAGUUUUAUGUCAAUAAAAAAGUUUAGUUCAAAACUACUUAUUAAGUUAAUUAGAGUUUCAGUAUAUUUAAUAGUUUUAUUUGGAUUUACUUAGCUAACCUAUAUAAAAGCCUCUUCAUUGUACACAAUCAAUUCAUUCAUUAUUCACUUUGAGUUAAAAAAUUUAUCUUUAAUAAUUUCUCUCGAGUUUUCUUUUAGAAAAGUUUUAACAAUACUUUUAGAUUGUAAGGAUUAUUUUCAAGUUUUUUCUUACCAAGUUCUCUUUCUUGGAGGGAAAAUUAGAUUCGUUUGAAGAGGAUUGUCAACUCAUCAGAUUUCCAAGACUCUUUAGGACUUCUACACGCCAUCUUCAUCUUUUCCAUCUAUCUAUUUUAUUUUCUUCUUUAUUCUAUCUUGUUCAUAUUUAAUUAUUGAUUUAUUUAAUUGUUUUUUCUAUCUUAAUUAUUUAUUUUAAUCGCUUCCUUUAGUUUUAAAAUUCUUAGAUUUGACUUAGAUUUGUUUGCGUCUCAGGUUGUGUCAGUCAAAUUCACAACUUAGAUAAACUUAUGAUAUUGUUCUGCACUCAUCCAUAUCAUUUGGUAUCAGUUUCUUGGGCGUUUUUUGUGUUCUUUAUAUUUUUAUAAAUUGAUUUUCAGCAAAUAACCUCAAAAUAAUUUUUACCCAAAAUUUUUUUCCAAAAAAAAAACAUUUUUCAAUGGGUAAAAUUUAGAUAAAUUUUUGCAUAUUGAUUAUCGACACUCUCUUAGAAUAUUAAAAAAUAUUUCUUAAAAAAAUGAAAAAAAAAUAAAAAAAUAAAGAAAAGUUUUAAUAAAUUUGUGGGUUAAAUUUCCUGUUCCGCACUCAUCCGUGAAAAUGUGUAAUAAUUUAGUAAAAGUAAUAAUCUUCAAUUAAAAGGAUAAACAUGUUGGAAAAUAGAUCAACAGAUUUUUCUUAUAUUAUAAGGUGCCAAAAUUUUAAGAAAGGGCAAGAAGGUGCGCAUAAUCGGAGGCGGAUGAUAAAAAAAUUAAGUUAAAAUAUAUCAUAAAUUUUUGUAUUCUUUGUAAAUUUAAAAUUGUCUCUUUAUUUUUAUUGGUAGGAAUUUAGUUCUUUUACGUUUCAUCUUUCAGAAUCUAAAUCUAAUUGUUAAUAUUGUUAAAAAUAUUUAAAAAAAAUUCAAGUUCAUUAUAAUACAAUUUUUUAAUUACAUGGCAACUAAGUAGAUAUUUUUUAUUUUAAAAUAUUACAUGAACAAAUUAAAAAAAAAUAAUUGUGUUAACUAUUGAAUUGAAUUUUGAAAUAUAAAAAAAGUAUAGAAACUAAAUUCUUGAAAAUUGGAGUGCAAACACUAAAUUCUAAAUUUGUGAAGAAUUAAGAGGUUUUGACACAUUUUAACAAAAAUGAUAAAAUUAUCAUGGAAGCCGCCCUUGUACUAGGAGUUAAAUUACAUUUUACCCCUCCACCAAAAAAUGGGCAAAUUAGCUUCUGUACAUUUAAUUAAAGAGCAAAUUAGUCCUUUUGUUAAAAAAAAUUAUUCAUUUCUACUGUUAAAAAUUGGUCUCUGUCUGUCACCACGAGAUACACAUGACACAUCACAUAUCCCUAUUUGGUUAUUCUGUCAAUCACAUCAAUUUUUAACAAUACAAAUAGAUGAAAUUUUUUACAAAAAAGACCAAUUUAUAUUUUAAUCUAAUGUAAAAAGAGCGAAAUAUAAUCCGACUCUUGUUAGAGGAGCCUCCAUGAUACUUUUACCUAAAAAAAA
Molecule: long non-coding RNA, 5581 nt
Filed under: Gossypium barbadense (sea-island cotton)
Lineage: Eukaryota; Viridiplantae; Streptophyta; Magnoliopsida; Malvales; Malvaceae
Description: long non-coding RNA (GBAR_LNC014198)
Rfam family: MIR7502 microRNA precursor family (bases 5339-5484)
Source: RNAcentral